UACGGGGGGAGCAAGCGUUGUUCGGAUUUACUGGGCGUAAAGGGCGCGUAGGCGGCCACCGCAAGUCGGUUGUGAAAUCUCUGGGCUUAACCCAGAAAGGUCAACCGAUACUGCGGGGCUAGAGUGCAGAAGGGGCAACUGGAAUUCUCGGUGUAGCGGUGAAAUGCGUAGAUAUCGAGAGGAACACCAGUGGCGAAGGCGAGUCCCUGGACAACUCCUGACGCUGAGGCACGAAAGCUAGGGGAGCAAACAGG
This 254-nucleotide ribosomal RNA is filed under the name uncultured bacterium. Its description in RNAcentral is "partial 16S ribosomal RNA". It matches the Rfam family "Bacterial small subunit ribosomal RNA", at positions 524 to 776 of the family's 1533-position model. The record is from RNAcentral.